RNAcentral lists this ribosomal RNA (403 nucleotides) under Fusobacteriota bacterium. RNAcentral describes it as "Fusobacteria bacterium partial 16S ribosomal RNA". It matches the Rfam family "Bacterial small subunit ribosomal RNA", at positions 355 to 776 of the family's 1533-position model. Lineage: Bacteria; Fusobacteriati; Fusobacteriota. The record is from RNAcentral.
UGGGGAAUAUUGCACAAUGGAGGGAACUCUGAUGCAGCGACUCCGCGUUAACGAAGAAGGCUUUCGAGUCGUAAAGUUCUUUUAUAUGGGAAGAUAAUGACGGUACCAUAAGAAAAAGCCCCGGCUAACUACGUGCCAGCAGCCGCGGUAAUACGUAGGGGGCUAGCGUUGUCCGGAAUCACUGGGCGUAAAGGGUUCGCAGGCGGAAAUGCAAGUCAGGUGUAAAAGGCAGUAGCUUAACUACUGUAGGCAUUUGAAACUGCAUAGCUUGAGAAGGGUAGAGGUAAGUGGAAUUUUUAGUGUAGCGGUGAAGUGCGUAGAUAUUAAAAAGAAUACCGGUGGCGAGGGCGACUUACGGGGCACAUUCUGACGCUGAGGAACGAAAGCGGGGGUAGAAAAAAGG